This 767-nucleotide long non-coding RNA is filed under the name Coffea arabica (coffee). RNAcentral's name for it is "long non-coding RNA (CARA_LNC003073)". Lineage: Eukaryota; Viridiplantae; Streptophyta; Magnoliopsida; Gentianales; Rubiaceae. The record is from RNAcentral.
UUUUUCGAGUCGUCAGUUACUGAACUGAUUUUAAGUUACUUCAUUUCAAUUCUUUGGUUUUAAAAGGCUCGGUUAGCUUCUUUGGGAGUUCAAAAAGCUGUAUCAGAACUUCGAUCCCUUACCUCCUCAGCAAAAUCUGGGAAAAGAAAAUGGCAUAAAGUUGAUUAUUCCUCCACCCCUUUGCGCCGUUCGAAUCGUCUCAAAGGGAAAUCAUGCAUCUCGGAAUUAUCAGUUAAAGGUUUAUAUCAAGGAAUAUUAGGACUGUUUGUUUUGACUCUUGGAUAAUUGGAUUGGAUGUGUAAUUUUACAAUCUCAUGGGUUGGUUUUCAAUUUUCAGGGGAAAGUGGGCUUUCCCAGCUUAGUGAUGUUGAAGAUGAUGGUGAGAAGAAGAGGCCUGCAAAUGCACCAUUAAUGAGGGUGAAAAGGAUGGGAAGGAUGGGAAGGCUCCGAGCCAAAACUGAUUAUGAAAGCCUCAGAAAAGCCCGCAUUUUGGAAAACCAGGUUCUUUAUUUCUCCAUCUUUUUAACCAUUUUUCGAGUCGUCAGUUACUGAACUGAUUUCAAGUUACUUCAUUUCAAUUCUUUGGUUUUAAAAGGCUCGGUUAGCUUCUUUGGGAGUUCAAAAAGCUGUAUCAGAACUUCGAUCCCUUACCUCCUCAGCAAAAUCUGGGAAAAGAAAAUGGCAUAAAGUUGAUUAUUCCUCCACCCCUUUGCGCCGUUCGAAUCGUCUCAAAGGGAAAUCAUGCAUCUCGGAAUUAUCAGUUAAAG